RNAcentral lists this microRNA precursor (178 nucleotides) under Salvia sclarea (clary). Its description in RNAcentral is "miR1078 stem-loop (ssl-MIR1078)". Lineage: Eukaryota; Viridiplantae; Streptophyta; Magnoliopsida; Lamiales; Lamiaceae. The record is from miRBase by way of RNAcentral.
CUUGAUUGAUUCAAUUGUGAUUCUUGGAUAAUUUUGGUUUCUUGGUUGAUUAGGUUAGAGGAUUUUGAAUAUGGUUGGAUUCAAAUUGUGAUUGAAUCAAUGGCUUCAUGACUUUUUUAGGUGCCUAGAGUCAUUUUUGUAAGAGAUGUAGAUUAUCCAAUGUCGUAAAUCAAAUAAG